AUUUCCUCCUUCAUAUUCUGAAUCUCAUCCUGCAGGCGGCCAAUAGUGUCUUGGUAGUUAGCAGCUUCAACGGCAAAGUUCUCUUCCAUUUCACGCAUCUGGCGUUCCAGGGACUCAUUCUGCAGGGGGUGAGAAAGAUGUCUGGUGUUAUUUCUCAGAAAAACCCAGCUGUUCCCAGAACCAUUUACAGACCUUCUGCAAUAAUUUCCAUUAGCGGCAAAUGGCGACCACUCUAAUUUUAGGUGGAGAAUGCGAGUACCAAGUCCUUCAUAUUAGAAGCAAUGAUAUAGGCAAGCUAAAACCUUCAAGAGUUCCAUGAAGUCCCUUUUGAGUCUGUCUUGAUAACUCAUUUUCUUUGCAUUAUGAUAUACAUUUUUACUCACUCAACAUUUUGUUCAGGUAUCAUCAUGAGCCUAGUCAGCAGAAUGGGUCAUUAUUUUCCCUCUUUUACUGCAGGGUUGGUACUCACGGUUCCUUUAAGGGCAUCCACUUCACAGGUGAGGGACUGCACCUGUCUCCGGUACUCAGUGGACUCCUGCUUUGCCUGGCGCAGGGCGUCAUUGUUCCGGUUGGCAGCCUCAGAGAGGUCAGCAAACUGUUGGGAAGAAAACAGAAAUGUAGAUUGCUCACAUUCAAGUCUUUUGACUCUCUUAGAAAAAAAAAAUCAUAUUUCUCACUGAAUGUCUUCCAGUAUAGGUUUAAAUUUCUGUUUUGAAAGCCAGGGAAAGAGCAGUGGAGUACUGACAUUAGUAUUUUCAGAGUUCACUCUACAGUGCUCAUUUCAACACAGUGGAGGUCAAAGGUAUGGCAUUGGGGUUUACUUGGAGGCAAGGUUAGGGGGAAGAGAGUCUGCUAUUCUGAAGGAGGUGAUGUGGCCAGGCGUGGUGGCGCAUGCCUGUAAUCCCAACAUUUUGGGAGGCUGAGGAGGGUGGAUCACCUGAGGUCAGGAGUUUGAGAGAAGCCUGGUCAACAUGGUGAAACCCCAUCUCUACUAAAAAUACAAAAAUUAGCCGGGCAUGGUGGUGCUUGCCUGUGGUUCCAGCUCUUAGGGGGCUGAGGCAGGAGAAUCACUUGAACCUGGGAGGCGGAGGUUGCAGUGUGCCAAGAUGUUGCCACUGCACUCCAGCCUGGGCAGUAGAGCAAGACUCUGUCUCAUAAAUAAAUAAGAAAAUAAAUAAAUAAAUAAAGGAGGUGAUGUGAGUGGUGGGGAGGCUGUGGUGGCAAACACAAUAUGAGCAAGAAGUCAAAGCCAGCUUUGCAUUGGAGCUAGAGGAUAUUUAGGAAUCACACACAGGUAUGGGGUUUUGAGAACACAAUGCUUUUCUUUGGUUGAAGCCGCACUGAUUUGUUUCCUACCUUGGAUUUGUACCAUUCUUCUGCCUCCUGCAGGUUCUUGGCAGCCACACUUUCAUAUUGCUGACGUACGUCACGCAGGGCAGCCGUGAGGUCAGGCUUGGAAACAUCCACAUCGAUUUGGACAUGCUGUUCCUGAAUCUGAGCCUGCAGCUCCUGGAUUUCCUGCAAAAAGAACAGACAGACGGUCAGCUCUGCCAACCGUGGGGGCUGCCUUACCCUCAUUCAUUCCCCGAAAGUCACUCCACUAACCUCUUCGUGGAGUUUCUUCAAAAAGGCAAUCUCUUCUUGCAAAGAUUCCACUUUGCGUUCAAGGUCAAGACGUGCCAGAGACGCAUUGUCAACAUCCUAUUUUGAACAGAGAAAAGACAGGACAUGGAGGAUGUAAAAGUGUAUGGCUUAUCUCAUUUAUUUGUCUUAGAUUAACCAUCUGAACCUAGUCUCCUUACUAUAGAAAAGCCGUUGACACAUUUUAUGACCCUGGAAUAGGUUUAUAAAUCAUUCAGUGCUAUAAUAUGCUGUGCUUUCUCCUGCUCACUAAUAUAUUUUAAUUGUGACUGCUUGUGUUUUACUCAAGGUGGUGAUCAGACAAUUUUAAAAUAAAUAAAUGUCCACACACAUGGUAAACUGCACUCAAUCAUGACUGAAUCCACAUUUUACCAGUGAUAUUUUAAAAUUACUUUUUAAGGCUGGUCAUGGUGGCUUAUGCCUGUAAUCCCAGCACUUUGGGAGGCUGAGACGGGUGGAUCACUUGAGGUCAGGAGUUCGAGACCAGCCUAGCCAACAUGGCGAAACCCCGUCUCUACCAAAAAUACAAAAAUUAGCUGGGUGUGGUGGCACAUGCCUGUAGUCCCAGCUACUUGGGAGGUUGAGGCAGGAGAAUUUCUUCAACCCAGGAGGCAGAGGUUGCAGUGAGCCAACAUAGUGCCACUGCACUCCAGCCUGGGCAACAGAGUGACACUCUGUCUCAAAAAAUAAAGUAAUUCAUUUAAUUUAAUUACUUUUUAAAUCUAGAAAAUCUAUGCCACAACAUUUUUAAGAUUUGUUUUGUAAUUUCAUGGAAUAACAUGAUGAUAGAGGUGGACAAAUUUUCACAACUUCAUGUACACUUGAGUACAUGGAGAACAGAAACUUGUGCUUCAAGAGUUUUAGCUUUUCUUCUCCACUCAAAUCUUUUGAAACUUAUCCUUAGGCUCCAAAGCAAAUAUGUAGUCAUCUGGCAUCCAUUGUACAAGGCUAGAUUUAUAUUCAAUAACCCAAUUCAGGAUAUGCAUGCCAAAGAUUCAGUUCAGGAAAAAAUGGAAAAGAAAUGUAACUCUGAACUGUAUUUGCUUGGCUUUCUCUGGUGGAUUUUUCUUCUAAAACUCCUUUGACUCAUCCUGUAAAGGCAUGUCUUUUUCACUUGCCACUGUAUCAGUUCAGUUAGCCUGUUUCAGAAUGACUGGUCAAGCUUGCAAAGAAUGAAACUACAUAAAGGAUUUUUGCUGAUUCAGCCGUCCUUCUAUAUUUCCAUUUAAAAAGCUCAGCAUUCCAAAUCAGAAUAUGUAAUCUUGCAACUAAGAUUUUAUUUCCUCUCAAAAGGAUGCGUGAGGAUUGCUUAUCUUGUCAGCAAUUAUAUUUGGAGUUCAUAGCCUUACGGUCUUAAACUGUUGAGACUUUUCUAUCACCUUAGUGGAAAAAUGAAUGAAGAGUGGGUGACAAAAAGAUCAGACUUGAUGAAAACAUUGAUUUUUACUUGUUAAGCCCUGAAAAAUACAUAAAAGAUAUUUUACUAACCUCCAAAGAAAGAUCAAUGUGGUAUUCUAUCACAUUGAAGAGAAUGAGGAAUUUUGCUUAAUCUCGAAACAGAGGAUCUUUUGUAUUGAUGUUGUUUUAUGUUAACUCACUACACUGCAGAAAACAUGACAGGUAUGAUAAUCAAAAAUGCUCAAGGACUAAAAUGAACCACACACAUUGCUGUGGUUAAAUUAAUUUGGUAAAUGUAUUUCAGUUUCAAAAUGUUAUACUACACUAUUCAUCUGAGAGUGCUUUGCAGUUAAUCCCAGUAAAUAUUCCAGGGAAUACAACUAUAAACUAUAAUGGGGAUCUUCUGGCUUUUGGAUUCCAAUUUUAAGUUAAAAAUUCUGUAAGUCCAUCUAAUUUUGGUGAAAAAAAAAAAAAACACGCACAAAAACCCUUUAGUUAAAAUUCAGUUUUUCAGCCUUGGGUUUAUUACUGUUAUUAUUUUUUAUGGCAAGAGUGCUAAAGAACACAAGAACCCAAUCAAGAAAGGACUUUUAAAAUGUGAGGUAUGCUUGUAGCUUUAAAAACUUUUUACAUUACCUACUUCUCAAGUCUGGGCCAGAUAUUAGAUAACGGAUGUUAGCAAAUACUUGUGUCCAAUUAGAACCGUGCUUACAUCAUUACAUAUUCAGUAAGAAUGUAGCCUGUUGCAAAGCUUCCCUGGGAAUACAAAGACUCCUAUUAUUUCUGUCCAGAGCCACCACAUUUGCCAGAAUGUCUGUAUCUACAUUCCAUAGUGAAGCCCAUAGAAACCAUUAAUACCCCUUAGCCAAGGGGACAGAUGGCUCCUUUUCACCCUUAUUAGAUCACAAAAUAGUUGUGCAUAGUGAUACUUCCAUCGAACUUUAAUGACACAAUAGAAUUUGCAAAGAAGAAAAGAAACUUGCUGGCUCCAUUCCAGUUGGAAACUAAGUUUUCUUAUCUUCCAACACGUUUUCCAUUUUAAACUGCAGGGCAUAAUUGCGCUUUUUGUGGCCUUGUAAAAAUUAAGCAACUUGACUUUGGCAAACCACAAUCUAAAAUUGUAACCGUUCGAAACCAGAAGGUCAAUGUGUUGCAAAACUGUGCAACAUUUGGGAAACAAAGUAAAAAGUUAAAAGAUUUUUCUUUAUGUCCCAAGGAACUGCUUAGAAAUCAUUCAAGGAUCGCU
Molecule: long non-coding RNA, 4285 nt
Filed under: Homo sapiens (human)
Lineage: Eukaryota; Metazoa; Chordata; Mammalia; Primates; Hominidae
Description: non-protein coding lnc-TRDMT1-5:3
Rfam family: Metazoan signal recognition particle RNA (bases 875-991)
Source: RNAcentral